Molecule: transfer RNA, 73 nt
Filed under: Canis lupus familiaris (dog)
Lineage: Eukaryota; Metazoa; Chordata; Mammalia; Carnivora; Canidae
Also listed under: 1 other name
Rfam family: tRNA
About the family: Transfer RNA (tRNA) molecules are approximately 80 nucleotides in length. Their secondary structure includes four short double-helical elements and three loops (D, anti-codon, and T loops). Further hydrogen bonds mediate the characteristic L-shaped molecular structure. tRNAs have two regions of fundamental functional importance: the anti-codon, which is responsible for specific mRNA codon recognition, and the 3' end, to which the tRNAs corresponding amino acid is attached (by aminoacyl-tRNA synthetases). tRNAs cope with the degeneracy of the genetic code in two manners: having more than one tRNA (with a specific anti-codon) for a particular amino acid; and 'wobble' base-pairing, i.e. permitting non-standard base-pairing at the 3rd anti-codon position.
Source: Rfam by way of RNAcentral
GCCUGGCUGGCUCAGUUGGUAGAGCAUGGGGCUCUUGACCUCAUGGUUGUGAGUUCAAUUCCCAGGUGGGGUG